Long non-coding RNA from Gopherus flavomarginatus (Mexican gopher tortoise), 1872 nucleotides. RefSeq lists it as uncharacterized. Lineage: Eukaryota; Metazoa; Chordata; Testudines; Testudinidae. The record is from RefSeq and is a predicted model, not a curated record. The transcript has 2 exons.
CUCAGGAGCCUAGCCCCCGGAAGUCCCGCCCCCAUUCUCGGUUCUCUGGUGACACUGACAGUUUUGUGUUACAAUCUGAGCCAGUCAGAGUUUGUCGCUGUGCCGGUCCGGAGCGGCUUGUAGGGACUGAGCAUGCUCAGUAACAGCGACUGAAGCCGCUGCCCGGCCCAUGGCUCUGCCCUGCCUCGAAGUGGCAGUCUGUUCCUGCUGGGAGGGGACAGACAGACUCCGUGCAGAGACCCAACUGAAUGCGCGGGAGAGGCAAACAGCUGGAGGCAGGAGAAAGGGGCUGAGGGGUUGGAGUUGGAGUUGGGGCACUGCUAGACAGCGGCCGGGGGCCAGUCAUCGGGAUCGGGCUGUGCAGAGGGUACCGAAGUUAACACAGAUGGGAUAUGGAGAACAACUAUUCAGAUUUCUUCAUACCAGCCCUUCAUAGUCAAAGUUGAUAAGUCCCCCUUCAGUCUUCUUUUCUCAAAACUAAACAUGCCCCAGUUUUUUUUAACCUUUCUUCAUAGGUCAGGUUUUCUAAAGAUUUUAUGGUUUGUGUUGCUGUCCUCUGGACUUUCUCCAGUUUAUCCAAAUCUAUCCUAAUGUGUGACACCCAUAAUUGGACACUGUGCGCCAGUUGAGGCCUCACCAAUGCCAAGGAGAGCAGGACAGUUACUUCCCAUGUCUUACAUAUGACACUCCUGUUAAUACACCCCCAGAAUAUUAGGCUUUUUCACAGCUUUAUUACAUUGGUGACUCUCAUUUAAUUUGUGAACCACUAUAACCCCCACAACCUUUUCAGCAGUAUUACCACUUAGCCAUUUCCUCCCCGCCCAUGUUGUAAUUAUGCAUUUAAUUUGUCCUUCCUAAAGAGAAGUGCAAAAUAUAUUACUUACUGAAUUUCAUCUUGUUGAAUUCAGACUAAUUCUCCAGUUUGUUAAAGGUCAUUGUCACCAGGGCUGGCUUCUCCCCCACUCCAAAGCAUGUGCUGCCAUGUCUUUUUCAAAGACGUUUAUUUCCUUAACAGAGAUUAGCAAACAACACAAAAACAGUCUUAACUCAUUCCUUAACCUCAGGGCCUACCCCUCCAAUUUGGGGCAUGUUCUAUAAAAGAGUUCUCUAACCCAGUAACAAAUGUGAACUUCUGGGUCACUGUAACAAUCUUACCAUGGAAUUACAGACAGUCCCCUUGGAUACUCCAAUCUAUCUUGCCAUCCAAAGCAUACCUUUGUGAUAGAUGGGCCCUUGCACCAAAGAUCACAGCAAUAUUCAGGUUACUCCCAGUCCCAAAGGACCAGUCACCUUACUCCAGGUCAGUUGUAUCUCAGAUCUCACACCAAAGACAAUGCUUGUAUCCAAUCCUAUAAUAAACUAUCUAAAGAUGUAUUAAUUAGGAAAAGGAAGUGAGUUAUUUACAAGGUUAAAGCAGGUAAACGUAUAUGCACACAAAUGAGUUUCUAUCUUAAGUUUCAAGAAUUAAUAGAAGUUGACACAAUAAACAAACUGUAUGUGUCCUUUAGGGCUAACCCAGGGCAAGCACUGGGGAUCUUAUGCUUAGUAAUCUUUGCCCCUCAGAGUUCAAGCAGCAUAAAAUAUACAGUUUCUCCUUGUUAGGACCUUUUAUUCCUUCCCCCCUUUUGCUUUAAGUUGCAAGUUCAGCUCUUGGGAGGAAUUCAUUUGGAUGUCUCCUCUUCACAAGGGUGAGAGAAGAGCAAUCAGCAGAGGCCUUUGUCUUCUGAUGUUCCACACUGGUUUGUCUGGUAUCGAUGGACUUGUUUCUGUAUAACUUUGGAUCUGUGAUGUACCUGUAUCCAUCUCCUGUGUUUGAGUCUGAUCAAUGCACUGUAGCAUUGGUCUGUGUCAAAUAAAGAUACCUGAAUGACA